Molecule: ribosomal RNA, 861 nt
Filed under: uncultured archaeon
Lineage: Archaea
Description: bacterial SSU rRNA
Rfam family: Archaeal small subunit ribosomal RNA
Source: RNAcentral
ACUGCUAUCGGAUUGAUACUAAGCCAUGCGAGUCUUUGUAGCAAUACAAGGCAGACGGCUCAGUAACACGUAGUCAAUCUACCCUAUGGACGGGGAUAACCUCGGGAAACUGAGAAUAAUACCCGAUAGAUCAUUAUGCCUGGAAUGGUUUAUGGUCGAAAUGAUUUAUCGCCGUAGGAUGGGACUGCGGUCUAUCAGCUUGUUGGUGAGGUAAUGGCCCACCAAGGCUAUAACAGAUACGGGCUCUGAGAGGAGAAGCCCGGAGAUGGGUACUGAGACACGGACCCAGGCCCUAUGGGGCGCAGCAGGCGAGAAAACUUUGCAAUGUGCGAAAGCACGACAAGGUUAAUCCGAGUGUUUUCUGCUAAAGAAAUCUUUUGUCAGUCCUAAAAACACUGAUGAAUAAGGGGUGGGCAAGUUCUGGUGUCAGCCGCCGCGGUAAAACCAGCACCUCAAGUGGUCAGGAGGAUUACUGGGCCUAAAGCAUCCGUAGCCGGCCGUGUAAGUUUUCGGUUAAAUCUAUACGCUCAACGUAUAGGCUGCCGGGAAUACUGCACAGCUAGGGAGUGGGAGAGGUAGACGGUACUCGGUAGGAAGGGGUAAAAUCCUUUGAUCUAUUGAUGACCACCUGUGGCGAAGGCGGUCUACUAGAACACGUCCGACGGUGAGGGAUGAAAGCUGGGGGAGCAAACCGGAUUAGAUACCCGGGUAGUCCCAGCUGUAAACAAUGCAAACUCAGUGAUGCACUGGCUUGUGGCCAGUGCAGUGCCGCAGGGAAGCCGUUAAGUUUGCCGCCUGGGAAGUACGUACGCAAGUAUGAAACUUAAAGGAAUUGGCGGGGGAGCACCACAAGGGGUGAAG